CGCUAUUAAGGUUCGUUUGUUCAACGAUUAAAGUCCUACGUGAUCUGAGUUCAGACCGGAGUAAUCCAGGUCAGUUUCUAUCUAUAAAAAAUUUUUUCUAGUACGAAAGGACCGAAAAAAUAGAGCCCAUUACCAAACAAUGCUCUUACACAGUUGAAAACAAAUAAAACACGCACACACAAACACAUCCUAGAACAGGAUAAA
RNAcentral lists this ribosomal RNA (204 nucleotides) under Tylototriton shanjing. RNAcentral describes it as "partial 16S ribosomal RNA". It matches the Rfam family "Bacterial large subunit ribosomal RNA", at positions 2561 to 2832 of the family's 2925-position model. The record is from RNAcentral. Lineage: Eukaryota; Metazoa; Chordata; Amphibia; Caudata; Salamandridae.